RNAcentral lists this ribosomal RNA (468 nucleotides) under uncultured bacterium. Its description in RNAcentral is "partial 16S ribosomal RNA". It matches the Rfam family "Bacterial small subunit ribosomal RNA", at positions 28 to 507 of the family's 1533-position model. The record is from RNAcentral.
GACGAACGCUGGCGGCGUGCUUAACACAUGCAAGUCGAACGGAAAGGCCCUGCUUUUGUGGGGUGCUCGAGUGGCGAACGGGUGAGUAACACGUGAGUAACCUGCCCUUGACUUUGGGAUAACUUCAGGAAACUGGGGCUAAUACCGGAUAGGCGCUCCUGCUUCAUGGUGGGGGUUGGAAAGUUUCGGCGGUUGGGGAUGGACUCGCGGCUUAUCAGCUUGUUGGUGGGGUAGUGGCUUACCAAGGCUUUGACGGGUAGCCGGCCUGAGAGGGGGACCGGCAACAUUGGGACUGAGAUACGGCCCAGACUCCUACGGGAGGCAGCAGUGGGGAAUAUUGCACAAUGGGCGGAAGCCUGAUGCAGCAACGCCGCGUGAGGGAUGACGGCCUUCGGGUUUUAAACCGCUUUCGCCUGUGACGAAGCGUGAGUGACGGUAAUGUGUAAAGAAGCACCGGCUAACUACGUG